Molecule: ribosomal RNA, 466 nt
Filed under: uncultured bacterium
Lineage: Bacteria
Description: partial 16S ribosomal RNA
Rfam family: Bacterial small subunit ribosomal RNA
Source: RNAcentral
GACGAACGCUGGCGGCGUGCUUAACACAUGCAAGUCGAACGGAAAGGCCCUGCUUGCAGGGUACUCGAGUGGCGAACGGGUGAGUAACACGUGGGUGAUCUGCCCUGCACUUCGGGAUAAGCCUGGUAAACUGGGUCUAAUACCGGAUAGGAGCCAUUUUUAGUGUGAUGGUUGGAAAGUUUUUUUCGGUGUAGGAUGAGCUCGCGGCCUAUCAGCUUGUUGGUUGGGUAAUGGCCUACCAAGGGGGCGACGGGUAGCCGGCCUGUGAGGGUGGACGGCCACACUGGGACUGAGAUACGGCCCAGACUGCUAAGGGAGGCAGAAGUGGGGAAGAUUGCACAAUCGGCGCAAGCCUGAUGCAGAGACGCCGCGUGGGGGAUGACGCCCUUCGGGUUGAAAACUCAUUUCGCUAGGGACGAAGCUUUUUGUGACGGUACCUAGAUAAGAAGCACCGGCUAACUACGUG